GUAAGGGGAAUUUCACUGAGCUUUAGUGUUAAGAAAACAAACAUAGCCUAUGUCUUAAGGGAACGCAAAGUUUUGAUAAAAAGUUACUAAAGCUAAUUUAUUUCAAAAUAAGAAACUAAACUAGGUUAUAAAUUCAUCUACAAAACUUGCAAAAUGAAGAAAAAAAUGACGUGGAAGAACGCAGAAGGUACUAUAAACGACUCGCUUGAGCAUGGCGUAUCAUUUCCGCAUCAUAAAGAACCCUUAGUCAUUUUAAACAGACAAAUGGCUAAAUGCAGAAGAAAAGAGCCCUUCGACUCGUUUGAAUCCCUGCUUGUGCCGAGGUCGGAAUGGAAUGCUGUACCUCAGUCGAAACAGCCAGAGCCAAUGGAAACACCGAUAUCUUUCAUACGUUAUUGGAAAUUCACGAACACGGAUUCUUGCAGGAAGAAACACGAAUGUAACUUUAUUCUACAAGAUUUGCAAGAGCGGCAUAUGAGUGUUGGUUUCGGCGAUAUUCGCUUCAAUUUCCUUAUAGGAGGAGAUGGUUCUAUAUAUGAAGGCAGAGGGUGGAAUUCUAAGCCACCAGACGACCCUACGUAUGAGUAUAACACCGAAAACCACUUGGAGAUAGGGUUCAUAGGGGACAUCAGGUUAAAAUCCAAGCUAUAUAACGCAUACAGGAUGCAGCUUCAGUUCGAAUCAGGGCACAUUCUUGUCGAUUAUGGUCAGAAAAACAAUCUAAUAUCCAAGAAACUAAAAUGCACAUGGAAAGAGAAAUGACGUAUACUGCGAGGAAUUGGGAUAAAAUAAAAGCAAUGGUUUGUGAAAAUGGCCAAGAAAAAACGCUGCAUGGCCAGAAGUCAUCUGACCUACACUACUACUGAUACGCUUUAUAUGUGUAUCACAUGAACAUCUGAUAGGGAUAACAAUUAAUAAUACAGACAAAAAUAUGAAAUUAUUUUUAUAUGACCUUAUCAACAACCAUAUCACAAUCUAAAUUUAUCUUUUGAAAAAGCAAACUUGUUUGAGUAGCCGUAGGCAGAGUCGACUUUUUUAUUCAUAUUGCUAAAUGAGUCAAAUAUUUUGGUUGAUUUUCCAGUUGUUAAGUAUAAUAAUUCUUGCGAAAAUUUUACCAUUGAAAUUAAGGGAUGUAAAAAAAGGCAAAAAAGCGACACAAACGUUAAAAGUUCUCGAGAAAUAGAAUAAAGUGUUAUGGAUGGUUUUUAUGUAUUAGUUCUUCAAAUCGUAGGCCUGAUUUGGGUUAUUAUCUUGCAUUUUAACUCUUAAAUGUGAUUGAAGUGACAAGUGAAUCAAGAUUAUUAAAGCUAAGUGCUAAAAAAUUAAUCAGUACAAAUGGAAGUUGAUCGUAACCCCCCUCUACUCAACAUAAUCUCUAGACAGGAAUGGGGGGGCGAACCCCCAAAACUAGAAUUGGAAAACUUAAGAAAACCGUGCAUCUGUAUUCGCCUGUGGCUUUAUUCAGAUACACCAGAAUGUGAUACUAAGGAGGAGUGUAUUAAAACAGUGCGGGAAAUCCAGCAAAGAAACUUCAAAGAAGGAUUGGAUGACAUCCG
This is an RNA transcript of Macrosteles quadrilineatus (aster leafhopper), 1556 nucleotides long. It is a transcript of the gene named peptidoglycan-recognition protein LF-like, with no coding region annotated. The transcript has 5 exons. Lineage: Eukaryota; Metazoa; Arthropoda; Insecta; Hemiptera; Cicadellidae. The record is from RefSeq and is a predicted model, not a curated record.